Molecule: long non-coding RNA, 126 nt
Organism: Melitaea cinxia (Glanville fritillary)
Lineage: Eukaryota; Metazoa; Arthropoda; Insecta; Lepidoptera; Nymphalidae
Exons: 3
Source: RefSeq, a predicted model, not a curated record
AGUCGUCAGAUCUCGGUCAAAUUUAAAUGGGAACACAAGACAAUCAUGAGCUAUCGAUUAAAACAGAUAUCAUCAAAAUCAGUACACUCAGUGAAAAGCUAUGCGAUACAAUAUAACGUAGGUCGA